AGUGAACGCUGGCGGUAGGCCUAACACAUGCAAGUCGAACGGCAGCACAGGAGAGCUUGCUCUCUGGGUGGCGAGUGGCGGACGGGUGAGGAAUACAUCGGAAUCUACUCUGUCGCGGGGGAUAACGUAGGGAAACUUACGCUAAUACCGCAUACGACCUACGGGUGAAAGCAGGGGACCUUCGGGCCUUGCGCGAUUGACUGAGCCGAUGUCGGAUUAGCUAGUUGGCGGGGUAAAGGCCCACCAAGGCGACGAUCCGUAGCUGGUCUGAGAGGAUGAUCAGCCACACCGGAACUGAGACACGGUCCAGACUCCUACGGGAGGCAGCAGUGGGGAAUAUUGGACAAUGGGCGCAAGCCUGAUCCAGCCAUACCGCGUGGGUGAAGAAGGCCUUCGGGUUGUAAAGCCCUUUUGUUGGGAAAGAAAUCCAGCUGGCUAAUACCCGGUUGGGAUGACGGUACCCAAAGAAUAAGCACCGGCUAACUUCGUGCCAGCCGCCGCAGUAA
Molecule: ribosomal RNA, 506 nt
Filed under: uncultured bacterium
Lineage: Bacteria
Description: partial 16S ribosomal RNA
Rfam family: Bacterial small subunit ribosomal RNA
Source: RNAcentral